This is a long non-coding RNA of Scomber japonicus (chub mackerel), 140 nucleotides long. RefSeq lists it as uncharacterized. Lineage: Eukaryota; Metazoa; Chordata; Actinopteri; Scombriformes; Scombridae. The transcript has 3 exons. The record is from RefSeq and is a predicted model, not a curated record.
CUACUGGCUGAGAAGAGCAGAUUAUUCGGCAGAAGGUUGUCAUCAUCUUCAACAUCAUCUUCACCAUGAAGAUGUGGACUGUGUGUGCACUUCUUUGUGCCAUGAUGGCUCUGGCUACAGCUCACUGGGUUCCAGAAGAA